RNAcentral lists this ribosomal RNA (1541 nucleotides) under Escherichia coli. RNAcentral describes it as "bacterial SSU rRNA". It matches the Rfam family "Bacterial small subunit ribosomal RNA". Lineage: Bacteria; Pseudomonadati; Pseudomonadota; Gammaproteobacteria; Enterobacterales; Enterobacteriaceae. The record is from RNAcentral.
AAAUUGAAGAGUUUGAUCAUGGCUCAGAUUGAACGCUGGCGGCAGGCCUAACACAUGCAAGUCGAACGGUAACAGAAGCAGCUUGCUGCUUUGCUGACGAGUGGCGGACGGGUGAGUAAUGUCUGGGAAACUGCCUGAUGGAGGGGGAUAACUACUGGAAACGGUAGCUAAUACCGCAUAACGUCGCAAGACCAAAGAGGGGGACCUUCGGGCCUCUUGCCAUCGGAUGUGCCCAGAUGGGAUUAGCUUGUUGGUGGGGUAACGGCUCACCAAGGCGACGAUCCCUAGCUGGUCUGAGAGGAUGACCAGCCACACUGGAACUGAGACACGGUCCAGACUCCUACGGGAGGCAGCAGUGGGGAAUAUUGCACAAUGGGCGCAAGCCUGAUGCAGCCAUGCCGCGUGUAUGAAGAAGGCCUUCGGGUUGUAAAGUACUUUCAGCGGGGAGGAAGGGAGUAAAGUUAAUACCUUUGCUCAUUGACGUUACCCGCAGAAGAAGCACCGGCUAACUCCGUGCCAGCAGCCGCGGUAAUACGGAGGGUGCAAGCGUUAAUCGGAAUUACUGGGCGUAAAGCGCACGCAGGCGGUUUGUUAAGUCAGAUGUGAAAUCCCCGGGCUCAACCUGGGAACUGCAUCUGAUACUGGCAAGCUUGAGUCUCGUAGAGGGGGGUAGAAUUCCAGGUGUAGCGGUGAAAUGCGUAGAGAUCUGGAGGAAUACCGGUGGCGAAGGCGGCCCCCUGGACGAAGACUGACGCUCAGGUGCGAAAGCGUGGGGAGCAAACAGGAUUAGAUACCCUGGUAGUCCACGCCGUAAACGAUGUCGACUUGGAGGUUGUGCCCUUGAGGCGUGGCUUCCGGAGCUAACGCGUUAAGUCGACCGCCUGGGGAGUACGGCCGCAAGGUUAAAACUCAAAUGAAUUGACGGGGGCCCGCACAAGCGGUGGAGCAUGUGGUUUAAUUCGAUGCAACGCGAAGAACCUUACCUGGUCUUGACAUCCACGGAAGUUUUCAGAGAUGAGAAUGUGCCUUCGGGAACCGUGAGACAGGUGCUGCAUGGCUGUCGUCAGCUCGUGUUGUGAAAUGUUGGGUUAAGUCCCGCAACGAGCGCAACCCUUAUCCUUUGUUGCCAGCGGUCCGGCCGGGAACUCAAAGGAGACUGCCAGUGAUAAACUGGAGGAAGGUGGGGAUGACGUCAAGUCAUCAUGGCCCUUACGACCAGGGCUACACACGUGCUACAAUGGCGCAUACAAAGAGAAGCGACCUCGCGAGAGCAAGCGGACCUCAUAAAGUGCGUCGUAGUCCGGAUUGGAGUCUGCAACUCGACUCCAUGAAGUCGGAAUCGCUAGUAAUCGUGGAUCAGAAUGCCACGGUGAAUACGUUCCCGGGCCUUGUACACACCGCCCGUCACACCAUGGGAGUGGGUUGCAAAAGAAGUAGGUAGCUUAACCUUCGGGAGGGCGCUUACCACUUUGUGAUUCAUGACUGGGGUGAAGUCGUAACAAGGUAACCGUAGGGGAACCUGCGGUUGGAUCACCUCCUUA